GCCGUAACUAUAACGGUCCUAAGGUAGCGAAAUUCCUUGUCGGGUAAGUUCCGACCUGCACGAAUGGCGUAAUGAUGGCCAGGCUGUCUCCACCCGAGACUCAGUGAAAUUGAACUCGCUGUGAAGAUGCAGUGUACCCGCGGCAAGACGGAAAGACCCCGUGAACCUUUACUAUAGCUUGACACUGAACAUUGAGCCUUGAUGUGUAGGAUAGGUGGGAGGCUUUGAAGCGUGGACGCCAGUCUGCGUGGAGCCAACCUUGAAAUACCACCCUUUAAUGUUUGAUGUUCUAACGUAGGCCCCUGACCGGGGUUGCGGACAGUGUCUGGUGGGUAGUUUGACUGGGGCGGUCUCCUCCCAAAGAGUAACGGAGGAGCACGAAGGUUAGCUAAUCCUGGUCGGACAUCAGGAGGUUAGUGCAAUGGCAUAAGCUAGCUUGACUGCGAGCGUGACGGCGCGAGCAGGUGCGAAAGCAGGUCAUAGUGAUCCGGUGGUUCUGAAUGGAAGGGCCAUCGCUCAACGGAUAAAAGGUACUCCGGGGAUAACAGGCUGAUACCGCCCAAGAGUUCAUAUCGACGGCGGUGUUUGGCACCUCGAUGUUGU
This 603-nucleotide ribosomal RNA is filed under the name Klebsiella pneumoniae. RNAcentral describes it as "partial 23S ribosomal RNA". It matches the Rfam family "Bacterial large subunit ribosomal RNA", at positions 1933 to 2535 of the family's 2925-position model. The record is from RNAcentral. Lineage: Bacteria; Pseudomonadati; Pseudomonadota; Gammaproteobacteria; Enterobacterales; Enterobacteriaceae.